RNAcentral lists this ribosomal RNA (433 nucleotides) under uncultured bacterium. RNAcentral describes it as "partial 16S ribosomal RNA". It matches the Rfam family "Bacterial small subunit ribosomal RNA", at positions 29 to 507 of the family's 1533-position model. The record is from RNAcentral.
AACGAACGCUGGCGGCAUGCCUAACACAUGCAAGUCGAACGAGACCUUCGGGUCUAGUGGCGCACGGGUGCGUAACGCGUGGGAACCUGCCCUUAGGUUCGGAAUAACUCCCCGAAAGGGGUGCUAAUACCGGAUAAUGUCUUCGGACCAAAGAUUUAUCGCCUUUGGAUGGGCCCGCGUUGGAUUAGCUAGUUGGUAGGGUAAAAGCCUACCAAGGCGACGAUCCAUAGCUGGUCUGAGAGGAUGAUCAGCCACACUGGGACUGAGACACGGCCCAGACUCCUACGGGAGGCAGCAGUGGGGAAUAUUGGACGAUGGGCGAAAGUCUGAUACAGCAAUGCCGGGUGAGUGAUGAAGGCCGUAGGGUUGUAAAGCUGUUUUACCCGGGAUGAUAAUGACAGUACCGGGAGAAUAAGCGCCGGCUAACUCCGUG